AUUGAACGCUGGCGGCAGGCCUAACACAUGCAAGUCGAGCGGAUGAAGGGAGCUUGCUCCUGGAUUCAGCGGCGGACGGGUGAGUAAUGCCUAGGAAUCUGCCUGGUAGUGGGGGAUAACGUCCGGAAACGGGCGCUAAUACCGCAUACGUCCUGAGGGAGAAAGUGGGGGAUCUUCGGACCUCACGCUAUCAGAUGAGCCUAGGUCGGAUUAGCUAGUUGGUGGGGUAAAGGCCUACCAAGGCGACGAUCCGUAACUGGUCUGAGAGGAUGAUCAGUCAACCUGGAACUGAGAAAAGGUCCAGACUCCUACGGGAGGCAGCAGUGGGGAAUAUUGGACAAUGGGCGAAAGCCUGAUCCAGCCAUGCCGCGUGUGUGAAGAAGGUCUUCGGAUUGUAAAGCACUUUAAGUUGGGAGGAAGGGCAGUAAGUUAAUACCUUGCUGUUUUGACGUUACCAACAGAAUAAGCACCGGCUAACUUCGUG
RNAcentral lists this ribosomal RNA (484 nucleotides) under uncultured bacterium. Its description in RNAcentral is "partial 16S ribosomal RNA". It matches the Rfam family "Bacterial small subunit ribosomal RNA", at positions 30 to 507 of the family's 1533-position model. The record is from RNAcentral.